GGAAAAUCACCUCAAUCAGUCGACAUUAACUGCUACUACUACAAUACCAAUGAGAGAGGGAUUAUUGAACCAUAUCAUUCUCCUGCUGCCACAGUGACUGUUCUAGACAGACUUCAGAAACCCUUCAUCAGCGUUAGUGAAGAUGAUGAUCUGCCCACAAUAUCAUGUGAAAUACCACUAUCAGUCAGAGCUAAUUUAACCUGUAGUUUCUAUACUGAAGAUGGAGCUCGUCUGUACAGAAGUCUCUCUCAGAGGAGUCAGAAUGGAGACAAACAUCUUUGUAUGUUUUAUCCAAACUUCCCCACACAGUCAGUGAACAGCAGACAAAUAAACUGUGAUUAUACAACAGUCAUCAAGACUAAUUUCACAUCACCACGGAGCGACACAGUCACCAUCAGAGGUCUUUCUCAGGCCAGACUGUCAGCGUCUGCUUCAGUUCUUCAGGAAACAGACACAGUUGAGCUGAGCUGCGAGAAUGCUGAAGAUCUGGAGAUGGAGAUGUGUGUCUUCAACAUUAAUGGAAGAGAAAGUAACUCAAAAGCAAGUUUCUCUUGUCAGCUCUCACUCACUGCAUCUCAGAUCAGUGUUUGGUCAGAAGAUCAGAGCUCAUCAGUGAACAUAACCUGCUUCUACACUGUGAUGAAGAAAGGAGUUCAAAAACCAUCUCCUCAUUCUGAUCCAGUGACAGUAACAGUCCAGCCUUCAACACCAACCACCACUGCAGAUACAAAUACAACAGCCCUAGAAACAUAUGUUUCUCGUGUUCAGACUUUCACAGCUCAUAAAGACCAACCCAUAUCCAGAUAUGUUACAUGGCUUAUAAUGCUGGUUUGUAUUGGAAUUGGUGUCAUUUUUUCUGGAUUCCUGGGAGUCAUCUGUGUGUGCUGGUUUGCAAGUAAGUCAGGUUUAAUUCAAUAACAUAAAAUCCACAAAACCAGAUGUGUCCAGUCAAGGAAUUGAUAUGAGUGGUUCUGGAGAAGAAGAGAUAUAUUAUGUGACCACUUCUGGACCGGCCACAUCUCAACCUGUAUUUGAGGAUGUUUCAGUCAAUAAAAAACAACAUGGAAAUACAGCGGAGAGUGAGGAUGUUUACCACCUGUACAGCACCAUCCCUGAUAAACUAGUUCAGUCCAGCGCUGGAGAUCAAGAAUACAAUUUGAUCCAGAAACACUGAUGAGCCUCAAAACUUGUUUUAUCAUGUACAGAAUAUCAGUCGUACAGUACAUGUAGAAUCUUAACUUAAAAACAGAUUUUUAAUAUUGGUUAAAAUGGUUAACCAGAGAAAAUGGGUUUCCUCUGCAGAUGAUAACCAAAAAUAGCUUGGAUGUUUCAUGAAAACUGAAAUAAAAGAUGUCUAAUAAAUGGAAAAUA
RNAcentral lists this long non-coding RNA (1371 nucleotides) under Danio rerio (zebrafish). RNAcentral describes it as "lncRNA si:ch211-11c3.4 (ENSDARG00000098581.2)". Lineage: Eukaryota; Metazoa; Chordata; Actinopteri; Cypriniformes; Danionidae. The record is from RNAcentral.